AGUCAGUGCCAUUUUUUUUCUUUCUUUUUUUUUUUUAAAUUAGGUAUUUUCCUCGUUUACAUUUCCAAUGCUAUCACAAAAGUCCCCCAUACCCACCCCCCCAAUCCCCUACCCACCCACUCCCCCUUUUUGGCCCUGGCGUUCCCCUGUACUGGGGCAUAUAAAGUUUGCAAGUCCAAAGGGCCUCUCUUUCCAGUGAUGGCUGACUAGGCCAUCUUUUGAUACAUAUGCAGCUAUAGACAAGACAUUUUCUAGAGAAACAGUGGGAAGGAAAAGACAACUAACUUGGAGGGGAGAGUGGUUUGCAUAGUCCUUGAUGCUUUGUUGACAGGCUAGCUGCGCACUUCACACUUCAUAAAGAAGGCAGGAAGCCAAUUAUCAGCCCAUUAGCAGCCACUUUCCAUGAGGCUGCCCAUCAGCCCUCACCAGGGCCUGGCCAGGAGCAUACAGAACUCACUCCCUCCUGUCCCUCCCCUCUCCCCUCUUUUUUUUUUUUCCAUAAGAAAGUGUGAAUCCUAAUUGCUCUAGUCUUAAUGUAUAGGGUGGGUGUGUGAAAUAAGAAGGGGAGGCCUCCUGGAAUGUAUGCAGUUCAAAGUAUGCAUCAAUGGCACAGUCUUGAGAGUUCAAGCAGGGAGAACUGAACCCUUGGGUGCUCAGGGAAGAUGCUCAGAGGAUGCUGGGAUGGAGCUUGACUUUGAAGAUAAGGAAGAACGGUACUUCCCCAUAGGGUUGCUACGAGAAACAGUCUCUUCCUGGUAUCUAUCUGCCCGUCCUUUCUCCCAUUUGUCCCCAACCCCCACCCUACCAGGAGAAAGUACUGCCUAGAUUAUAGGACUAUCAAGAUGUUACCUUUCCAGCAGCUAGAAGGUUAGUUACAGAGUUUUCAGGCUCUGGUAAUGUUGAUAUUUUGUCUCAGAGAAUUGGGUCUUUAGUAACAUCUCUGUCCUCUACCACACUGAAUACCACCACCAUGGUGCUAGCCAGGACUUCCAAAAACCUCUCUAGACACCGGCAGGCACUUUUUGGUGGAAAUUAAGAUAAAGAGCCAUGUUCCAGUCUCAAGAGGUCUCAAGAGGUCUCCUGUGUUUUUGAGGCUAUAGCUAAACUCUGAAGCAUCCUGAUGAUGAGAGAGCAUGUGGCAAAGAGGAGGCUGAUGGUUUUUGUGUGUCCCGUGUCAUUGGGAAGAUGUGAAUCUUCGCUAUAAUGUUUGCAGAGCACUUCUUCCCUCUGACUAGAG
This 1237-nucleotide long non-coding RNA is filed under the name Mus musculus (house mouse). Its description in RNAcentral is "long non-coding RNA chr4:128341983-128343220". The record is from RNAcentral. Lineage: Eukaryota; Metazoa; Chordata; Mammalia; Rodentia; Muridae.